RNAcentral lists this non-coding RNA (167 nucleotides) under bovine gut metagenome. RNAcentral's name for it is "Lysine riboswitch". It matches the Rfam family "Lysine riboswitch aptamer". Rfam says of the family: Riboswitches are metabolite binding domains within certain messenger RNAs that serve as precision sensors for their corresponding targets. Allosteric rearrangement of mRNA structure is mediated by ligand binding, and this results in modulation of gene expression. The record is from RNAcentral.
GAUAGAGGUUGCGAGCUUUAUCAGUAGAUUGUCGGAUGUGCCCGGACACAGGGGAAGACAAUGGAAAGGGGAGCGCGCCGAAGGGGUCUGCGUGUCGGGACGGUAGGUCACCUGGGUGCAGGCCGAACAGGUCUGCAACUGUCAUCUGCUGCAGAUGGGGCGCUAUC